Long non-coding RNA from Ochotona curzoniae (black-lipped pika), 888 nucleotides. RefSeq lists it as uncharacterized. The record is from RefSeq and is a predicted model, not a curated record. Lineage: Eukaryota; Metazoa; Chordata; Mammalia; Lagomorpha; Ochotonidae. The transcript is spliced from 3 exons.
UACCACGGUGAUCAGAGAUGGGGCAGUUAGAGGGGUGAUCAGUGGGAGUCAGACCUUUCCACAGGGGCUUCAUGUGGAGGUGGGACAGCUUGCCCUCCUGUCCCCGGUUGUGUGAUGACACGGUGCUUGCUCCCCACAGAAGCGGAGGCAGCAUCUUGACAGCAGAGUCGCCCUCACCAGACGCUGCACCUGCUGCUGCGGAGAUCCUGCGUGUCACAGCCUCAGAGCCGUGGGAAAGUCUCUGUGAAGUUCUGCUGUGGAAGUGAUGUGGCCCAGAUGGCAGUUCCAUCAAGGACUAUGGUCAAGAUCAUGCCAAGCCUCAUUGUACCAGGAUGGCGAGGGACCUGUUGAUGUGAAACUUGCCAGCAGAGAAGGGAAGAUUUCAACGCCUCUGCUGCCCCAACGGGCCGCUGUCUAGGAAACAUAUCUCAACAGUUGGAGAAAUUCUCAUGCCUUCACUGCUCCCGGGCUUCCUGUUGCUUCCUCACUCCUCCACCCCCACUCCCAUCCUAAUGAAUAUUCAGCCUGCAUCCUUCCAGGAGGAUUUUGAAUAGGAUGCUUCCUGUUUUUCCUAUUAAAGAUUGACUGUUGUCCUGGGUCAAGGGAUUAUUCAGUAAGACCUUGCAGCUGGGAAUUCCUGUUUAUUUCUUAGUAUGACCCUGGCUUUGGGGACAACAUAUGUCUCAUAGACUGUGCAUUCUAAUGGGUCUGUUAGCCCUUGACUCUAUUGCAAGUUUUUUUUUUUCUAGCAUGUUUACCUGUCCUCUCUUACUGUUAGCAAUUCAAGAGCAAGGACUGGGUCCUGUUUCCUUGCCCUUUCUGGUGCCAGCAGAGUGCUCAUCCUAGAAGUUCAAUACAGUUUGUUGAAUGGAUGAAAACCCCCCAAAA